RNAcentral lists this ribosomal RNA (199 nucleotides) under uncultured bacterium. RNAcentral describes it as "partial 16S ribosomal RNA". It matches the Rfam family "Bacterial small subunit ribosomal RNA", at positions 1302 to 1500 of the family's 1533-position model. The record is from RNAcentral.
AGUCUGCAACUCGACUACAUGAAGCUGGAAUCGCUAGUAAUCGCAAAUCAGAAUGUUGCGGUGAAUACGUUCCCGGGUCUUGUACACACCGCCCGUCACACCAUGGGAGUUGGAAGCACCCGAAGUCUGUGACCUAACCGAAAGGGAGGAGCAGCCGAAGGUGAAGCCAGUGACUGGGGUGAAGUCGUAACAAGGUACC